Molecule: ribosomal RNA, 402 nt
Filed under: uncultured bacterium
Lineage: Bacteria
Description: bacterial SSU rRNA
Rfam family: Bacterial small subunit ribosomal RNA
Source: RNAcentral
UCGGGAAUUUUGGGCAAUGGGCGAAAGCCUGACCCAGCAACGCCGCGUGAGGGAUGAAGUAUUUCGGUAUGUAAACCUCGAAAGAAUGGGAAGAAUAAAUGACGGUACCAUUUAUAAGCUCCGGCUAACUACGUGCCAGCAGCCGCGGUAAUACGUAGGGAGCAAGCGUUGUUCGGAUUUACUGGGCGUAAAGGGCGCGUAGGCGGCGCGGUAAGUCACUUGUGAAAUCUCUGAGCUUAACUCAGAACGGCCAAGUGAUACUGCUGUGCUAGAGUGCGGAAGAGNCAACCGGAAUUCUGGGUGGAGCGGUGAAAUGCGUAGAUAUCAAGAGGAACACCUGAGGCGAAGGCGGGUUGCUGGGCCGACACUGACGCUGAUACGCGAAAGCCAGGGGAGCAAACG